RNAcentral lists this long non-coding RNA (1024 nucleotides) under Numida meleagris (helmeted guineafowl). RNAcentral's name for it is "lncRNA (ENSNMEG00000001075.1)". Lineage: Eukaryota; Metazoa; Chordata; Aves; Galliformes; Numididae. The record is from RNAcentral.
GUCGAUCCCAAUUCCUCCCAGUCGAUCCCAGUCCCAUCCCAGUUGAUCCCAGUCCCAUCCCAGUCAAUCCCAGUCAAUCCCAGUCCCAUUCCAGCCCCUCCCAGUCGAUCCCAGUCCCACCUGGUUCCAUCCCAGUCGAUCCCAGUCCCUCCCAGUCGAUCCCAGUCCCUCCUGGUCCCAUCCCAGUCCCUCCUGGCCCCAUCCCAGUCCCUCCCAGUAGAUCCCAGUCCCUCCCAGCAGAUCCCAGUCCCUCCCAGUAGAUCCCAGUCCCAUCCUGGUCCCAUCCCAGUCCCUCCCAGUCGAUCCCAGUCCCUCCCAGCAGAUCCCAGUCCCUCCCAGUUGAUCUCAGUCCCUCCCAGUUGAUCUCAGUCCCUCCUGGCCCCAUCCCAGUCCCUCCCAGUUGAUCCCAGUCCCUCCCAGUCGAUCCCAGGCCCUCCUGGCUCCAUCUCAGUCCCUCCCAGCAGAUCCCAGUCCCUCCUGGUCCCAUCCCAGUCCCUCCCAGUAGACUCCAGUCCCUCCCAGUCGAUCCCAGUCCAUCCCAGUCUCACCCUUGUAGGGCCCGCCCUUGAUGGUGAGGGCCACGCUGCCGUCGUAGGCCAGGUACCCGAACCACUCCCCGUGCACCGGGUCACGGAACUGCCGCACACGGACACGCGUGACGCGUGCACACGGACACGCGUGUCAACACGGGAGCACACGCAGAAUCACGUGCACCCACACACGUGACCCCAGCCCCACAUGUGACCCCACAACCACACGCGUGACCCCAGCCCCACGCGUGUGACCCCAAACACGCCUGACUCCACAUGCACAUGUAUGACCCCACAUCUACAUGUAUGACCCCAGCCCCACACGUGUGACCCCAGACCCACACGCAUGACCCCAAACACGCAUGACCCCAGCCCCACAUGUGUGACCCCACAUGCACAUGACACCAGCCCCACACGUGUGACCCCAAACACGCAUGACCCCACAUGCACAUGUAUGACUCCACAUCUACAUGUAUGACCCCACACCCACGUGU